AUUGAACGCUGGCGGCAUGCCUUACACAUGCAAGUCGAACGGCAGCACGGGAGCAAUCCUGGUGGCGAGUGGCGAACGGGUGAGUAAAGUAUCGGAACGUGCCCAGUCGUGGGGGAUAACGUAGCGAAAGUUACGCUAAUACCGCAUACGAUCUAUGGAUGAAAGCGGGGGAUCGCAAGACCUCGCGCGAUUGGAGCGGCCGAUAUCAGAUUAGGUAGUUGGUGGGGUAAAGGCUCACCAAGCCGACGAUCUGUAGCUGGUCUGAGAGGACGCCCAGCCACACUGGGACUGAGACACGGCCCAGACUCCUACGGGAGGCAGCAGUGGGGAAUUUUGGACAAUGGGCGAAAGCCUGAUCCAGCCAUGCCGCGUGCAGGAUGAAGGCCUUCGGGUUGUAAACUGCUUUUGUACGGAACGAAAAGGUUUGGCCUAAUAAGCUGAGCUCAUGACGGUACCGUAAGAAUAAGCACCGGCUAACUACGUGCCAGCAGCCGCCGCCG
This 500-nucleotide ribosomal RNA is filed under the name uncultured bacterium. Its description in RNAcentral is "partial 16S ribosomal RNA". It matches the Rfam family "Bacterial small subunit ribosomal RNA", at positions 30 to 523 of the family's 1533-position model. The record is from RNAcentral.